ACUGGAGGUGAGGAACUUCAUCUAAUCUGUUUGGUACAGAUGCUUCUCAAAUGAAUUCAGCAAGUGUGGCACAGCAGUUCAGCAUUCAGUCUUCAGAAUAACAUACCAGGAGUUUUGCAAUUGGCUUGGCGUUUUCCAAUGCUAUAAGAAAGCUCUUAUGAGUGAUGAUCUUGUGAGAAACUGCUUCAUCUUGAGCUGUUUGUUUAAAGAACGUAGGGAAGACAAUGAAGUUGACACAUCACCCCCAUCCUGUCUUCCUAUGUUGAUGGAGAGAACUGAAAAGAAGGGAUAGCUGUAUUUGUUGGAAUAAACCUACUUCAUUCAGUACGGUGGUUCUGCUCCAAUGGGAUUUUGUAACUGCAUCUGCAGAUGAACUCAGUAUUCUCUACCAGCAAAUACUAGACAAUGAGAGCACAUUUUUGUUACCUUCCAUACUUUAUUUUUAUAAACGUGAAGAGAGCUAGUUCCUGAAAAAGUGGGGCUGCUCAACAUAGGAGGCAUUCUCUCUGAAUGAGAUACCCACCAGAACCUGGAAACAAACUUAUGCGCGUGUGUGCACGCGCACACACACACACACACACCUAAGGAGUGAUGUGAAGUAGCAGCUAUUUGGAGCAGGGAAAAGAACCAAUAUGGAAUUUCCUGAAAGCUCCUAAGAGGCACAUAGCCUCUUCAUGGACCUGAUGUGGGAUAUGAAAAUUGCUGCCUUGUAGGAACAGCUGUUCCUUCCCCCUUGUGUUGUGCCUAGCUGUUACUUGUGUGCGUGCACCUUCAAGUCAGUUUUUGACUCUUUGCGACUGCGUGGACUAGUCCCUGCAGUUUUCUUGGCAAGGUUUUUC
Molecule: non-coding RNA, 839 nt
Organism: Python bivittatus (Burmese python)
Lineage: Eukaryota; Metazoa; Chordata; Lepidosauria; Squamata; Pythonidae
Source: RefSeq, a predicted model, not a curated record